Molecule: long non-coding RNA, 443 nt
Filed under: Coturnix japonica (Japanese quail)
Lineage: Eukaryota; Metazoa; Chordata; Aves; Galliformes; Phasianidae
Description: lncRNA (ENSCJPG00005000120.1)
Source: RNAcentral
UUGCGUUUUCUGAAUCCUAAUUUUCUCUGAUGUUGUUUGUUUCUUAUGUUUUAAAGGGUGGAUCAUCCUCCUCCGACACCUAUUAUGAUAGUCAGGAUUCACAGGAUUUCUCAGAUGAUAAUCCCAAUGCCUGUGAUGAUAAUGACACUACAUACAGCGCUAAUAGUCGGAGUUCUGGCUGUGUGAAGAGGAAAGUUGUUGUCAGAGAUACUUCACAUGUUUUAAGCAAACGAGACUAUGAUGUCCAGAAUGAGUCCUCUACUUCAAAUAACAGCCAUACUAACUACCAGGGUGGAUCAUUCAUUGCAGCUGGUGGUGGAUCAAGUGGUCAGGGUGGUUGCAUUUGUCCUGAUGGAAGCAGCGGUGUUAGACAGGUGAUUCUUUUUCCUUAAUUUAUAUUUAACUCUAGAUAACAGAAUAUUUUGAAUGAAUCACCUUGUAAG